GUGAAUAUAGCGCAUCUCUUCGGAGAGCGUGACCUCCACUUUCAACUCUGUGCAUUUUUUGGCGAGGGGGGAACGAGACGAAGCAGACGCAAGUUGCAGACUCUCGCCUCUUGCGGCUCAUUUUAAACACUAGUUAAAGUAUGUAACGAAGUAUCGAAACAAAA
Molecule: unclassified non-coding RNA, 164 nt
Filed under: soil metagenome
Description: partial internal transcribed spacer 1
Source: RNAcentral